RNAcentral lists this ribosomal RNA (732 nucleotides) under uncultured Staphylococcus sp. RNAcentral describes it as "bacterial SSU rRNA". It matches the Rfam family "Bacterial small subunit ribosomal RNA", at positions 63 to 781 of the family's 1533-position model. The record is from RNAcentral. Lineage: Bacteria; Bacillati; Bacillota; Bacilli; Caryophanales; Staphylococcaceae.
CGAACGGACGAGAAGCUUGCUUCUCUGAUGUUAGCGGCGGACGGGUGAGUAACACGUGGAUAACCUACCUAUAAGACUGGGAUAACUUCGGGAAACCGGAGCUAAUACCGGAUAAUAUUUUGAACCGCAUGGUUCAAAAGUGAAAGACGGUCUUGCUGUCACUUAUAGAUGGAUCCGCGCUGCAUUAGCUAGUUGGUAAGGUAACGGCUUACCAAGGCAACGACGCAUAGCCGACCUGAGAGGGUGAUCGGCCACACUGGAACUGAGACACGGUCCAGACUCCUACGGGAGGCAGCAGUAGGGAAUCUUCCGCAAUGGGCGAAAGCCUGACGGAGCAACGCCGCGUGAGUGAUGAAGGUCUUCGGAUCGUAAAACUCUGUUAUUAGGGAAGAACAUAUGUGUAAGUAACUGUGCACAUCUUGACGGUACCUAAUCAGAAAGCCACGGCUAACUACGUGCCAGCAGCCGCGGUAAUACGUAGGUGGCAAGCGUUAUCCGGAAUUAUUGGGCGUAAAGCGCGCGUAGGCGGUUUUUUAAGUCUGAUGUGAAAGCCCACGGCUCAACCGUGGAGGGUCAUUGGAAACUGGAAAACUUGAGUGCAGAAGAGGAAAGUGGAAUUCCAUGUGUAGCGGUGAAAUGCGCAGAGAUAUGGAGGAACACCAGUGGCGAAGGCGACUUUCUGGUCUGUAACUGACGCUGAUGUGCGAAAGCGUGGGGAUCAAACAGGAUUAG